RNAcentral lists this transfer RNA (75 nucleotides) under Firmicutes bacterium HGW-Firmicutes-8. RNAcentral's name for it is "tRNA-Cys". It matches the Rfam family "tRNA". Rfam says of the family: Transfer RNA (tRNA) molecules are approximately 80 nucleotides in length. Their secondary structure includes four short double-helical elements and three loops (D, anti-codon, and T loops). Further hydrogen bonds mediate the characteristic L-shaped molecular structure. tRNAs have two regions of fundamental functional importance: the anti-codon, which is responsible for specific mRNA codon recognition, and the 3' end, to which the tRNAs corresponding amino acid is attached (by aminoacyl-tRNA synthetases). tRNAs cope with the degeneracy of the genetic code in two manners: having more than one tRNA (with a specific anti-codon) for a particular amino acid; and 'wobble' base-pairing, i.e. permitting non-standard base-pairing at the 3rd anti-codon position. Lineage: Bacteria; Bacillati; Bacillota. The record is from RNAcentral. RNAcentral also lists the same sequence under 1 other name.
GGCGGCAUGGCCAAGUGGCUAAGGCAUAGGACUGCAAAUCCUUGAUCCCCGGUUCGAAUCCGGGUGCCGCCUCCA